GUUUGUCGUUUUCUGCGUGAGUUUAGUGCGGAUGCAUGAAUGGGAAUAUUUUAGUGAAUGAACGAAUAAUUUGGUUGUAAAUUUGGUCAUCGGCGACUGAUGGAGCUAAGGAUUUAUUUGUAGGGUUGUCAAAGUAACACUUGUUGUCUGGCACAGGGACCCUCCCCGGCCAGUCCUAGGCCUUUGACGUGCUAUUCGGACCUCCUGGGGCGUUUGUCACAAGUGGAGCCGCAGGGACGUUGUUGAUAGGCGGGGCCGCUGGGACUUCGGUAACAGGCGGAGCCACAGACGCAUUGGUCACCGGCGGGGUCGCACGGGCGUCUGUCACCGGCGGGACGGCGUGGGCGUUGGUCACCGACGGGGGAGCACUAUUGGUCACACUUCUUUCCCCCGCUUUCCGGAGUGGGACGUGACGUGGAGCCUGGGCGCGGCUUCCAUUGUGCACAGGUUACUGUUUGUGGGGUCUGUGCUUGCUGGGCCAAUGUUUGACGAUUAGCCAUAACCGAGGCGUAGCUACAUUCGGUUUCAGAGUCAUCUAUGUCGGACGGCUGCGUAUUUUCUGUCUCCAUAUCAGGCAGCAGGCGGUGUGGGGGCCUCGGCUCCUGAACUUUUGGAUUUGCUUUAAGAAUAUGGCCUACUUGGAAGCGGUCUGAGAAGGUGACCAGGAUGGACCUAUGGAUGACCUUACCACGAAUGAGUCGGCGUCUACCUAUUCGCGUCGCGUGACGUAUGGAGAAUGAGUCGGAGGCCAACCGGAGCUUGUCGAAGAGCACGGAACGUAUAACCUCCGUUGUAUCUUCAUGUUCACGCUCCUCCAGCCCAGCAAACAACAGAUUGCAUGAUCUAAGUUUUACAUCGAUGUCAAUAGACCUGCAUUCUAGCGCACGUAAACGUUUAUCUGUGACAUCCUGACGUGCCGAUUCUAGAAACGUACGGGCCUCAAUAGUAUCAACACGUAUUUUGAGUGGUGCUAGAUGUGAAGAUAAUACAUCAUAUAUCGAUGAGAGUUUGUCAUCAUUAUCAAGUUUAUUAAAGUCACCAAGUGGAAGCCAUGCCUUGUAGUAUUUAUCAGUACCUUGCUGAGAUCCUCUGAGAGUGUCUGUGGGUGGGGUACUGGUGAAACGUCGUGCACGUUUUCGCCCUUUUGCUUCCUGGAAAUCGUCUUGUAAGGGUGCAAAUCGUCCAGUGUAUGGAGUUGUAGGUUGGCUGUUAUAAUCUGUAGCCAUAUUUAAUGUAUCGGUGGUGAUAAUUUAGAUUAAUUUGAAAAUUUACAAGCUCGUGUAAAAUGGCUUCCGACG
This is a long non-coding RNA of Mya arenaria, 1298 nucleotides long. RefSeq lists it as uncharacterized. The transcript has 3 exons. NCBI's taxonomy places the organism in Eukaryota, Metazoa, Mollusca, Bivalvia, Myida, Myidae. The record is from RefSeq and is a predicted model, not a curated record.